RNAcentral lists this long non-coding RNA (730 nucleotides) under Olea europaea subsp. europaea. Lineage: Eukaryota; Viridiplantae; Streptophyta; Magnoliopsida; Lamiales; Oleaceae. The record is from RNAcentral.
CAAACGCACAGAAGGUACUAUGCGCAGAAUUCAUGUUGGUUGGAGUAGCCGGUCACUGGUGGGAAUCAGUCUCACGCACUAGGACCGAAGAACAGCAGCAUAACUUAACUUGGGAACAAUUUAAGGAUGACGUGAUGGCAAAGUACUUUCCACAAGCUCUGAGAGAUUUCAAGGAAUCUGAGUUUCUACAGCUCAGACAGGGAACCUUAUCACUUACUGAUUACGAGAGGCAGUUCGAACAACUCUCAAGGUAUGCCCCAUACUUGGUGGAUACGGAAGUUAAGAAAAUCAGAAGGUUCGAGAAUGGACUACGACCAGAGAUCGGCAUGAUCAUUAUGUCUCACCGUUUCACUUCAUAUCAUGAAAUGUUGGAAAGGGCUCAUGCUAUUUCAUAUCAAAGGACUACAUUUGAACAGUAUUCCAAGCAAAGCAAGGAGUCCUUGGGAAAAAGAAGGUGGAAUGAUCAUAGCAAGGACACACGUAACUGGUCGAAUAAAAGACCAAGCACAGGAAUUCGUAUUGGUGGGACAAAUGGGAUUAUUCCACCUUGUCCUAAGUGUAAUAAACUCCACAAGGGUGAAUGCUUAUUUGGUAAGAACAUGUGCUUUCGAUGUGGUAAGCCGGGACACAUUGCCUUACACUGUACAGAACCUCCAAAGAAGAAAGAUGAUGAUCAGGACAAGAACAAGAAGGGGAAGGCCCGAGUUUUUGCACCAAACCAGCAUGAGGC